UGUCUCUGUGCCUUAAUUUCCCCGCGAGUAAACUACAGACACCAAAAUAUUUCUCCCCAGGCAGUCAUGGUGGAGAUAUAAUUGAUUCUUUCUCAUGUGCUUCUGCAGCAAAGCUUGCACAACAGAGGAGCUCGGUGAGUUGAGCCAAUACUACUAGUUCUGAACGUGGGUAACCAAAGCCAAGCCUGCCCGCCUCUUUCCUAGUCCAGCUGGCCUCCGGCAUACCUGAGCAUUAUUGGCCUUGACUUUCAAGGAAUCUGAUGUUUCCCUUUGAAUACUUUUUAUAUGGUUUUAUAUGAUUUUUAAAGUUGAUUACUUUUUUAUGAGCUGGUUUUUUGUUUUUUGUUUUUUUUUCCUUCAAGAGAAUCAACACUUGAAGGGUCAGGACCCUCCCUUACAUUUUCCUUAGUAUCAAGCUUGGAGCACAGUACAUAGCAUACAAAUGCACAUUUCUUCCAAGGGUCUUUAUAAUACAGAGGUGGAAAUGGCUCAAUGGUUCUAGCAUUGUUGUUUGUUUGUUUGUUUGAGACAGGGUCUCUCUCUCUCUCUCUAGCCCUAAUAUGUCUUAGAACUCACUAUGUAGACCAGGCUGGCCUCAGACUCACAGAGAUAGAUCUGCCUGCCUCUGCCUCUCGAGAGCUGGAAUUAGAUGCAGCUGGUUCUAGUUUUUAUAAAAAGAUUAUUCUAUCUAGUAUUCUAUAUCAGUCUAUACAGACUAGUGUUUUGCCUGCAUGUAUGUCUGUGUGCCAUAUGCUCGAAGCACUCACAAAGGCCAAGGAGGGCUGUUAGAUCCCUACAACUGGAGUUACAGAUGACUGGGAGCCACUGUGUGGGUGCUGGGAACCCAAUCUGGGUCCUCUGCAAGAACACUAGUUGCUCUUAAUCACGGAGCCAUCUCCCCAGCUCCAAGUCCUAGCUUUUGGAUGGAUAGUACAAAUGAUAUCCGACUGCCCUAGUGGGCCACUCCAUAACUCUGUAUCCCACCGCCAGCCCUCUUGAGUAUCCCUUUUAUUGCCUACCGCUUCGGUCCCACCCCUCUACCUACAUCAUAAACCUUCCUCCCCUCAACUAGCACACUGUUUCUCCUCCGGUGCACCCUGAUCUUUCACCCCCUCUCCUUGUCCUGCUUGGUUCCAGCACAGGAUUAAUUUUACCUUCAAUAUUUCGCCUAGGCCACUCGUGCAACACUCAGUCUAACUUGGUGUCAGUUAACAAAAACUAGUCAUUUGUGUAAAUGGCCUUUGACGUGGGACCGUUGAUUAUCCUCAGUGAGCCUCUGUAGUGCUCAGGGUUUGAGGUAUGCUGAAUUAAGCCCACAUUGGACCUAAUUAACGAUGAGACUGGCAAGGAAAGGCAAAGUCCUGUCUUCUGAAAGCAAGAUGCACCAAGAAAGUGCUGGAGCGGACGUGUCAGCUGCCAAUCAGAGGCAUCCCGCCCAUCAAAGGAGAGCAGGUGAGGCCCCUUGGCAUCUAAGAGAAGUUCCUUGAAACCCCCUUCAGGAGAAGCAGCACAGCCUCACCUGGGAAAACAGCAGCAACAAUGCGAAGCUAAUGUUAUAAUUAACAGCACUCUAAAAGGAAUUCUGGGUACCCGAGGUUCUUCCAUGCUCACAAUCCUCUUCUUCACGUGCAGAAACCUCCUUGAAAUUCAAUGUGCCAAAUCUUCAGAAUUCCAAUCAGCACAGAAAGGCAGCUUCUGCCGCCUGCUCUAACCUGCCGCCCACCUUGGGUCCUCCAGCAUCUGCGCUCCCACUUCCCACUCCGGCUUCAUUCCCUUGCACAAGUGGCCAUAACUUGCUGCUUCAAGGCCUGAACCCUGAAGCCUGUCUUAGAGAUCUGAAGGAGCAGCAGUGAAAACCACUGCCCAAGACACAACUGAGUGGAGCUCAGCUAGUCCAACCUACCUGCUCCUCCUCCUCCUCUGGAAGAUGACUUACAUUAACAACAAAUGCACUUUAAAAGCCCAGCUUUUCUCCAACCAUAGCUGAGCCAUCAUUGCUGUUUUUACAAAUUACUGAGAUUGCUAACUUUAGCCCACACUAGCUUCGGUUCAAGGAAUCUAUUUUAUAUUAAGGUUCUCUGGCUUAACCUCAAUCACUUAUUAGGAAAGGUAAAAAUCUGUUAUCCCAAAAGCAGACUAAAACAACAACAACAACAAAAAAGAUAAAUGAAUGUUUAAAUAAAAGCUUUCUAUUUCUACUUACAGGGCUCUCCUCACUAAAGGAUUGGAUUGUGCUGUUAAGUGAUAGGUGUAGCUCUCUGCAAACAAGAUUAUAUUUGGAUAGCGUUCAAGGGAACAGAAUAUUUGAAAUAUUCAUUAAGACUGACUUGAACAAGCCAUAAAAUACAGUGUCAGCCUAAUUCCUUAGGUAAUUCCUUAGAUAAACAAAGCAGCCUUAACUCCCAUUGGAACUGGCUAACAAUGAGACGGACAAGGAGCGGACAUGUCAGCUGCCAGUCAGAAGCAGCAUCCCGUCCAACCGAGAGCAGAUAUGAAUUGGCUCUGGAAGUGUUUGAAGGAAGAGAGUAGCAGCCACGACACUACAGAGUUGUACUCAAAAAGCCAGAGUCCAUGUUUUAAGUUGUGAAAAUUAAGAAGACAUAGUUUGGCUAGAGAGUGCCGGUUUAUCCAGGUUCUUCAAAGCCGAGCCACUCUACCUCCUCCAGCAUGUACUACUCAAAGCUGCUGGCUUGCCCCUGUGAACACUGAAUGUGAUAUCUUGUGUAACUCCAUACUUAUCCUCCUUGGCCAAAGCAGGAAGGAGCAGAGAUGUGGGUCAGAAAAUCUGGUCUCUGCUGAUGCAAACAGAGGAACCAGCCCAGACUCUACUUCCCUUGAAACUUUUCAAUGAGGUAGGUCAUUUUUUUUUUCUUCUGUGGAAGACUCCAAGAAGUUUUGAAAACUAAAAGAACACACCUGAAACCACGUGGUUCACAAUAAGCAAAUGAAUGUUUGGAAGCCUUCAGUUGGCCCCAGCACUGCAAACAUAAUAAACAAUGCAUUAAAUGAA
Molecule: long non-coding RNA, 3010 nt
Organism: Mus musculus (house mouse)
Lineage: Eukaryota; Metazoa; Chordata; Mammalia; Rodentia; Muridae
Product: predicted gene, 29838
Exons: 2
Source: RefSeq, a predicted model, not a curated record